RNAcentral lists this ribosomal RNA (254 nucleotides) under uncultured bacterium. Its description in RNAcentral is "partial 16S ribosomal RNA". It matches the Rfam family "Bacterial small subunit ribosomal RNA", at positions 524 to 777 of the family's 1533-position model. The record is from RNAcentral.
UACGUAGGGGGCGAGCGUUGUCCGGAAUUACUGGGCGUAAAGGGCGCGUAGGCGGCCCGUUAAGUCCGCUGUGAAAGACCGAGGCUCAACCUCGGGGUGUCAGCGGAGACUGUCGGGCUGGAGUCUCGGAGAGGGAUGCGGAAUUCCUGGUGUAGCGGUGGAAUGCGUAGAGAUCAGGAGGAACACCGAUGGCGAAGGCAGCAUCCUGGCCGAGUACUGACGCUGAGGCGCGAAAGCGUGGGGAGCGAACGGGG